This 835-nucleotide long non-coding RNA is filed under the name Equus caballus (horse). RNAcentral describes it as "lncRNA (ENSECAG00000048776.1)". The record is from RNAcentral. Lineage: Eukaryota; Metazoa; Chordata; Mammalia; Perissodactyla; Equidae.
CCCAAGCCUUCGAUGAGAUCGCAACGCCCAACGUUACUUUGAUUUCGGCCUGGUGAGACCCUGAGAAGAGGUCCAGCUAACUCAUGCCUGGCUCCUGACCCAUGGAAAUUAUCAGAUAAUACAAUUUUGUUGUUUUAAGCCAAAAAAUGUGUGGUAAUUUGCAGCAAUAGAAAACUAAUACACAUUAGGCUCAUGAAAACAGCUUCAAACUCAAUGAACAGAUUUUAGUGUCGAUGCUAUGACCCCUGCAAAUCAAGUAAACAAGCAAAAUGAACUUAGGACAAAUUGCCUAUGGAGGAGGCGUAUUUGUUUCCCUAUUUGCCUUGGUCUCAACAAUGGUCACCAGUGAGCAACUAGGGUGUGGCAGAUGCACAAGAAAGCCUCCGAAACCAAGAGGAGAGCCUUCUAAAAGUUGUUAUCCCACGUUGGCUUGUCACCUCAGGGAGACUAACAAGCUCAUGACGUGCCAAGCAGUGCCAUGUCCGCACCCGGAAUCUGAACCGAUGAACCCCAGGCCGCCGAGAAGCGGAACGGAACGUGCGAACUUAACCACUGUGGCACCGGGCCCGGCCCCAUCUCUAGAAUAUUUUACAGCUCAUCCAUGUCAUUCUGAUUUCUGUUCUUAAACUUACUUCAGAGUGGACUCCAUUUUCUGCCUACAGAAGAUUUUCCUUCGGACGUAGUGGCCUAAGAUGCGAAUAAAAAGAUCAUGGCUCAACACUAAGAACAAUGAGUUCCCUGAAAAGUUACCAGAAAAUUAUUUGUCACAUCUCUGAGUGUGUGUGGGGGUGAAUAGUUUCAACCCUCAAUGCAUGGUUCAGGUAGAUAAAUAAAG